GCCUACGGGGCGCAGCAGUGAGGAAUAUUGGUCAAUGGACGAGAGUCUGAACCAGCCAAGUAGCGUGAAGGAUGACUGCCCUAUGGGUUGUAAACUUCUUUUAUAUGGGAAUAAAACGUUCCACGUGUGGGAUUUUGUAUGUACCAUAUGAAUAAGGAUCGGCUAACUCCGUGCCAGCAGCCGCGGUAAUACGGAGGAUGCGAGCGUUAUCCGGAUUUAUUGGGUUUAAAGGGUGCGCAGGCGGAGGUGCAAGUCAGCGGUCACAUUGCGGGGCUCAACCCCGUACUGCCGUUGAAACUGCAUCC
This 305-nucleotide ribosomal RNA is filed under the name uncultured bacterium. RNAcentral's name for it is "bacterial SSU rRNA". It matches the Rfam family "Bacterial small subunit ribosomal RNA", at positions 337 to 640 of the family's 1533-position model. The record is from RNAcentral.